AUGUUUUUCCUAAUAUUUAGAGGUGUAACUGAAUACUCCGGGGAAUUUUUGUGGCCAUUGAUAUGGUUCAUUACUGGAGGCAUUCACACUGCUUUCUACCAUAAUGUUGCUGCCUGGUUUAUUGAAACCAUAGUGAAGUCAACAAUGCAAACCUUUGCACAGAAAGGAAGAAGAUAUAAAAUGACUAAAAUCUGUGAGAAGACUGGUAGAGCACAUUCUGCCACAUAGAGGGACAGUCAGAACCAUUUAUCUCAGUCCUGUGAACUCCUCACUACCCUCCUGUUCUCUGUUACUACCUUAUUACUCCAGAUUCAAAAGUUGUACUCUCUUGGCAUGUCUUAGCUUUAAGAAGUGAAAACUAGGUCAUCCGUGUUGGCCAUAAUAGAACUAGUAAUUAAUUGUGCGUGUAAAAAAGAUCCUUUCUUGGUGUGAAACCUUUAUUGGCUGACUCUGAUUUGCUUUCUCACAAAUAGCUUUCUCUGACUUAUUUCUGAUAUUCUAGAUAGUUUCUGCCAUACAGAGAACCCAACAGCUAUAUGAUAUUUAUAAUAAAUAAUUAUAGUACAUAUAGCUCCUAAACA
RNAcentral lists this long non-coding RNA (581 nucleotides) under Anser cygnoides (Swan goose). RNAcentral's name for it is "lncRNA (ENSACDG00005006413.1)". The record is from RNAcentral. Lineage: Eukaryota; Metazoa; Chordata; Aves; Anseriformes; Anatidae.